AGGAAGGAGAGGGCUUGUUUGUGAGAGCUGGGCCUGGGCUGGCUGCUCAGCAGGGAGGAGUCAGCCAGAUUAGAGAGCCUGCCCCUAAUCCGGCCUGCUGGGCUUUACAAGGAUCAGAGCAGCUGAUAAUGAACCUCAUUAAGGGGGAGCAGGAGCCUCAAUCCGAUCUGGGGUUUUCUCUUUGACAUCUUCACUCUGCUCAGAUGGCCUCGGCCCUGGGUGGACCAGGGCUCAGCAGCAUCGAUAAACCGGCUUCGCCCACCAGCUGGUCUCCUCCCCCACCCGGUCUGCCAGGCUGGGAGCCGGGGCUUCGGUGGCCUGAACUCCACCAGCCGUUCCAGGUUGUUCUCUGCACCCUGGAAGAGCUCCCCGGCAGGAGAGGGUCCUGCAAAGCAAAGGCUCCUGGUCCUGGGGCCGGACAGAGACACUUGCCUCCGCCUGCGAUGUUACCUACUGGGCAUUCAGGAACCAUCGCCUAGAGGAGGAGGAGGCAGCUGAGCUGGGUUUUGAAAGAUGAGUGGGGGUUAGCAAGGAAAAUAAGGAGGAAAAAUGCGUCACAGGCAGAGGAGAAAGCACGUGCCAAAUCCAACAAAGGAAAAAUAGUGAAUACAAGAAAUUCUAAGCAAAAAACUUUAAAAAAAAUUUUAAAGCUUUUUCAACGCUUACUAGGCUAGAAGCUGGGAAUAAACAGAGAAGAAAGACGUGGUCUCUGCUGUUAUGGAGCUUUCACUGUAGAGGAAAAGACAGACAAGGGAGAAAAAGAUGACAGAGUGUGGUAAGAGUGGUGAAGGACAGAGACCAGCCCAGGGUGGGGAGGCUUCUCCCAGACCUGAAGGAUGAGAAGGCGCGAAGUGGGAGGGGAGUGGGGGUUCCUGGGCAGGGGUGGAGGAACUGCAGGCCUGAGGGCCCACUUCAUUCAGAAGCCACCUGGGGGCUGAGGAGCUCCCAGAGGCGUGGCCCACCUUUGGCCUGGCUCCUCCCUCGCGGGCUCAGCACCAGGUCCAGGUGGGGAGCCCAGGUGCAGCCAUAAUCUGGGUGUGGGUAAGGAGUGGGCUCGGGGGACCC
This 1065-nucleotide long non-coding RNA is filed under the name Equus asinus (donkey). Its description in RNAcentral is "lncRNA (ENSEASG00005028354.1)". Lineage: Eukaryota; Metazoa; Chordata; Mammalia; Perissodactyla; Equidae. The record is from RNAcentral.